GACGAACGCUGGCGGCGUGCUUAACACACGCAAGUCGAGCGGUAAGGCCCUUCGGGGUACGACGAGCGGCGAACGGGUGAGUAACACGUGGGUGACCUGCCUCUAGCUCUGGGAUAAGCCUGGGAAACUGGGUCUAAUACCGGAUAUGACUCCACGGCGCAUGUUGUGGGGUGGAAAGCCUUGUGUGGCUAGAGAUGGGCCCGCGGCCUAUCAGCUUGUUGGUGGGGUGAUGGCCGUACCAAGGCGA
Molecule: ribosomal RNA, 247 nt
Filed under: uncultured Actinomycetes bacterium
Lineage: Bacteria; Bacillati; Actinomycetota; Actinomycetes
Description: uncultured actinobacterium partial 16S ribosomal RNA
Rfam family: Bacterial small subunit ribosomal RNA
Source: RNAcentral